This 24-nucleotide non-coding RNA is filed under the name Arabidopsis thaliana (thale cress). The record is from RNAcentral. Lineage: Eukaryota; Viridiplantae; Streptophyta; Magnoliopsida; Brassicales; Brassicaceae.
ACCACCGUUCGACGAUAGCAUCGU